AGUGAACGCUGGCGGCAGGCCUAAUACAUGCAAGUCGAACGGCAGCACAGCAGAGCUUGCUCUGUGGGUGGCGAGUGGCGGACGGGUGAGGAAUACAUGGGAAUCUGCCCAGUCGUGGGGGAUAACGUAGGGAAACUUACGCUAAUACCGCAUGCGCCCUUCGGGGGAAAGCCGGGGACCUUCGGGCCUGGCGCGAUUGGAUGAGCCCAUGUCGGAUUAGCUAGUUGGCGGGGUAAAGGCCCACCAAGGCGACGAUCCGUAGCUGGUCUGAGAGGAUGAUCAGCCACACUGGAACUGAGACACGGUCCAGACUCCUACGGGAGGCAGCAGUAGGGAAUAUUGGACAAUGGGCGCAAGCCUGAUUCAGCCAUGCCGCGUGAGUGAAGAAGGCCUUCGGGUUGUAAAGCUCUUUUGUUCCCGGAAAGAAAAACCUUAGGGUUAAUACCCUGAGGUUCUGACGGUACCGGAAGAAUAAGCACCGGCUAACUUCGUGCCAGCAGCCGCGGUAAU
This 510-nucleotide ribosomal RNA is filed under the name uncultured bacterium. Its description in RNAcentral is "bacterial SSU rRNA". It matches the Rfam family "Bacterial small subunit ribosomal RNA", at positions 29 to 524 of the family's 1533-position model. The record is from RNAcentral.